GAUGAACGCUGGCGGCGUGCCUAAUACAUGCAAGUCGAGCGAACAGACGAGGAGCUUGCUCCUCUGACGUUAGCGGCGGACGGGUGAGUAACACGUGGAUAACCUACCUAUAAGACUGGGAUAACUUCGGGAAACCGGAGCUAAUACCGGAUAAUAUAUUGAACCGCAUGGUUCAAUAGUGAAAGACGGUUUUGCUGUCACUUAUAGAUGGAUCCGCGCCGCAUUAGCUAGUUGGUAAGGUAACGGCUUACCAAGGCGACGAUGCGUAGCCGACCUGAGAGGGGGAUCGGCCACACUGGAAGUGAGGCAAGGUCCAGAGUCCUACGGGAGGCAGCAGUAGGGAAUCGUCCGCAAUGGGCGAAAGCCUGACGGAGCAACGCCGCGUGAGUGAUGAAGGUCUUCGGAUCGUAAAACUCUGUUAUUAGGGAAGAACAAAUGUGUAAGUAACUAUGCACGUCUUGACGGUACCUAAUCAGAAAGCCACGGCUAACUACGUG
This 497-nucleotide ribosomal RNA is filed under the name uncultured bacterium. Its description in RNAcentral is "partial 16S ribosomal RNA". It matches the Rfam family "Bacterial small subunit ribosomal RNA", at positions 28 to 507 of the family's 1533-position model. The record is from RNAcentral.